RNAcentral lists this ribosomal RNA (566 nucleotides) under uncultured bacterium. RNAcentral's name for it is "bacterial SSU rRNA". It matches the Rfam family "Bacterial small subunit ribosomal RNA", at positions 67 to 657 of the family's 1533-position model. The record is from RNAcentral.
CGAUAGACUUCGGUCUAGAGUGGCGGACGGCUGAGUAACGCGUAGGAAACCUGUCCCACAGUGGGGGAUAACCCGCCGAAAGGUGGGCUAAUACCGCAUACGUUCCCGUGGUGAGAGACCACGGGAGGAAAGCCGCAAGGCGCUGGGGGAGGGGCCUGCGUCCUAUCAGGUAGUUGGUGAGGUAACGGCUUACCAAGCCUACGACGGGUAGCUGGUCUGAGAGGACGACCAGCCAGACGGGGACUGAGACACGGCCCCGACUCCUACGGGAGGCAGCAGCGAGGAAUCUUGGGCAAUGGGCGAAAGCCUGACCCAGCGACGCCGCGUGGGGGAAGAAGGCCUUCGGGUCGUAAACCCCUUUUGCCGGGGAAGAAGCUCUGACGGUGCCCGGCGAAUAAGCCACGGCUAACUACGUGCCAGCAGCCGCGGUAAUACGUAGGUGGCAAGCGUUGUCCGGAUUUACUGGGCGUAAAGGGCGUGUAGGCGGUUCGUUAAGUCCGGUGUGAAAUCUCCCGGCCCAACUGGGAGAGGUCAUCGGAUACUGGCAAACUAGAGAUAGGCAGAGG